RNAcentral lists this ribosomal RNA (253 nucleotides) under uncultured bacterium. RNAcentral describes it as "partial 16S ribosomal RNA". It matches the Rfam family "Bacterial small subunit ribosomal RNA", at positions 524 to 776 of the family's 1533-position model. The record is from RNAcentral.
UACGUAGGGUGCAAGCGUUAAUCGGAAUUACUGGGCGUAAAGCGUGCGCAGGCGGUGAUGUAAGACAGAUGUGAAAUCCCCGGGCUCAACCUGGGAACUGCAUUUGUGACUGCAUCGCUGGAGUGCGGCAGAGGGGGAUGGAAUUCCGCGUGUAGCAGUGAAAUGCGUAGAUAUGUGGAGGAACACCGAUGGCGAAGGCAGCCCCCUGGGCUAACACUGACGCUCAUGCACGAAAGCGUGGGGAGCAAACAGG